This 604-nucleotide ribosomal RNA is filed under the name uncultured organism. RNAcentral's name for it is "bacterial SSU rRNA". It matches the Rfam family "Bacterial small subunit ribosomal RNA", at positions 113 to 705 of the family's 1533-position model. The record is from RNAcentral.
ACACGUGAGUACCUGCCUCCGGGUUAGGACUAACAUCUCGAAAGAGUUGCUAAUACCAAAUAAGAGCACGGUUGCUUCGGCAACAGUGGCCAAAGAGGGGUUUCCCUCGCCUGGAGAUGGGCUCGCGGUCCAUUAGCUUGUUGGUGAGGUAACGGCUCACCAAGGCGAUGAUGGAUAGCUGGUCUGAGAGGAUGAUCAGUCACACUGGAACUGAGACACGGUCCAGACUCCUACGGGAGGCAGCAGUGGGGAAUAUUGCGCAAUGGGCGUAAGCCUGACGCAGCAACGCCGCGUGGGUGAUGAAGGCUUUCGGGUCGUAAAGCCCUGUCAGAGGGGAAGAACAAGCAGAUCAGGAAAUGGAUCUGCCCUGACGGUACCCUCAAAGGAAGCACCGGCUAACUCCGUGCCAGCAGCCGCGGUAACACGGGGGGUGCAAGCGUUGUUCGGAAUCACUGGGCGUAAAGCGCGUGUAGGUGGAUAGUUAAGUCAGAUGUGAAAUCCCAGGGCUCAACCUUGGAAUUGCCUUUGAAACUGGCUGUCUUGAGUGCGGGAGAGGGAACGCGACUUCCCGGUGUAGAGGUGAACUUCGUAGAUAUCGGGAGGA